CAGCCGCCGCGGGAAAACGUAGGGCGCAAGCGUUAUCCGGAAUUAUUGGGCGUAAAGAGCUCGUAGGCGGUUUGUCGCGUCUGCCGUGAAAGUCCGGGGCUCAACCCCGGAUCUGCGGUGGGUACGGGCAGACUAGAGUGAUGUAGGGGAGACUGGAAUUCCUGGUGUAGCGGUGAAAUGCGCAGAUAUCAGGAGGAACACCGAUGGCGAAGGCAGGUCUCUGGGCAUUAACUGACGCUGAGGAGCGAAAGCAUGGGGAGCGAACAGGAUUAGAGACCCCUGUAGUCCCUGUCUCUUAUAC
This 301-nucleotide ribosomal RNA is filed under the name uncultured bacterium. RNAcentral describes it as "partial 16S ribosomal RNA". It matches the Rfam family "Bacterial small subunit ribosomal RNA", at positions 509 to 807 of the family's 1533-position model. The record is from RNAcentral.